Pelobates cultripes (western spadefoot toad) is the source of this 220-nucleotide non-coding RNA. The record is from the annotation of a GenBank genome assembly. NCBI's taxonomy places the organism in Eukaryota, Metazoa, Chordata, Amphibia, Anura, Pelobatidae.
GUUGAUUGAAGUUUAACACCCAGACUCUGGAGAAUUUGUAUUAAUCUGUAUUAUCCUCAAUGCAGAAACACUAGAUUGUCAGCUCCUGGGGGUAAGAAUUUAUUAAGCCUGUGCUAGUCCUGUAUGUCCAUUAGCUGCUCCACAAACUGCCCUUUCCUGGCAAUAAAUAAUGUCAAUAAAUACAAUGAGCAGAGACACAGCUUCCCAUACAGCAGAUCAG